UGUGGCAGCGACGUCGACAUCAGCUGUGUGUUUGGCUACGUGUAUGCGUGUGUGUUUGUGUUGGUGUAGCAACAUUUUCAUUGUGCGCCUGUGUGCGUGUGUGUGUUUGCUUGCCAAAAAGUAAAACACACACGCCCCUACCGAUGGGCAUCUGGGAGAACAGCUGUGCGUCACCCACAGCAGCAGAAGCACUUUGUUUGUUUGAGACGCAAAAGCGAAAAUCUCCACAAACAUAGCCUUGCAUAGAUAUAUACACACAUACACUUGUGCUUAUAUACAUACAUAUGUAUAUGUACAUAAUGGAUUCUGCUGGACUUACCGUCUUUGGAAAAAAUGAUGCCUCCAUGCCCAACAACAAUUGGCCGCAGCUCUGCGGUCUCGAGAAUCGAGAUAGUCGAAUAUUUGAUUUAGUGCCACCGCUGGUAUUGUAUGCCAUUGGGGUAUAUUCAUAACUUUAACUAUAUAAUCCCAAAUAAAUCCGUGUCUUUACUUUAUUGAACUUGUUAAUUUUACUUUUGUGCGACCGAACGGUGCGACGCAACAUCGACCAA
Drosophila montana is the source of this 551-nucleotide long non-coding RNA. RefSeq lists it as uncharacterized. The transcript has 2 exons. NCBI's taxonomy places the organism in Eukaryota, Metazoa, Arthropoda, Insecta, Diptera, Drosophilidae. The record is from RefSeq and is a predicted model, not a curated record.